CAGCAAGCUACAGUGCUGGACUAAAAUUGGAGCAAUACAGAGAAGAUUAGUAUGGCCCCUGUGCAAGGAUGACACGCAAAUUCAUGAAGUGUUCCAUAUUUUU
RNAcentral lists this small nuclear RNA (103 nucleotides) under Balaenoptera musculus (blue whale). Lineage: Eukaryota; Metazoa; Chordata; Mammalia; Artiodactyla; Balaenopteridae. The record is from RNAcentral.